RNAcentral lists this ribosomal RNA (486 nucleotides) under uncultured bacterium. Its description in RNAcentral is "partial 16S ribosomal RNA". It matches the Rfam family "Bacterial small subunit ribosomal RNA", at positions 30 to 507 of the family's 1533-position model. The record is from RNAcentral.
AUUGAACGCUGGCGGCAUGCCUUACACAUGCAAGUCGAACGGCAGCACGGGUGCUUGCCCCUGGUGGCGAGUGGCGAACGGGUGAGUAAUACAUCGGAACAUGUCCUGUAGUGGGGGAUAGCCCGGCGAAAGCCGGAUUAAUACCGCAUACGAUCUACGGAUGACAGCGGGGGACCUUCGGGCCUCGCGCUAUCGGGUUGGCCGAUGGCUGAUUAGCUAGUUGGUGGGGUAAAGGCCUACCAAGGCGACGAUCAGUAGCUGGUCUGAGAGGACGACCAGCCACACUGGGACUGAGACACGGCCCAGACUCCUACGGGAGGCAGCAGUGGGGAAUUUUGGACAAUGGGCGAAAGCCUGAUCCAGCAAUGCCGCGUGUGUGAAGAAGGCCUUCGGGUUGUAAAGCACUUUUGUCCGGAAAGAAAUCCUUGGCUCUAAUACAGUCGGGGGAUGACGGUACCGGAAGAAUAAGCACCGGCUAACUACGUG